This 563-nucleotide ribosomal RNA is filed under the name Talaromyces funiculosus. RNAcentral's name for it is "eukaryotic LSU rRNA". It matches the Rfam family "Eukaryotic large subunit ribosomal RNA", at positions 1 to 566 of the family's 3401-position model. The record is from RNAcentral. Lineage: Eukaryota; Fungi; Ascomycota; Eurotiomycetes; Eurotiales; Trichocomaceae.
UUGACCUCGGAUCAGGUAGGAGUUACCCGCUGAACUUAAGCAUAUCAAUAAGCGGAGGAAAAGAAACCAACCGGGAUUGCCUCAGUAACGGCGAGUGAAGCGGCAAGAGCUCAAAUUUGAAAUCUGGCCCCUUUGGGGUCCGAGUUGUAAUUUGCAGAGGAUGCUUCGGGUGCGGUCCCCGUCUAAGUGCCCUGGAACGGGCCGUCAUAGAGGGUGAGAAUCCCGUCUGGGAUGGGCGGCCGCGCCCGUGUGAAGCUCCUUCGACGAGUCGAGUUGUUUGGGAAUGCAGCUCUAAGCGGGUGGUAAAUUUCAUCUAAAGCUAAAUACUGGCCGGAGACCGAUAGCGCACAAGUAGAGUGAUCGAAAGAUGAAAAGCACUUUGAAAAGAGAGUUAAACAGCACGUGAAAUUGUUGAAAGGGAAGCGUUGUCCACCAGACUCGCCCGGGGGGGUUCAGCCGGCACCUGUGCCGGUGUACUCCUCUCCGGGCGGGCCAGCAUCGGUUUGGGCGGCUGGUGAAAGGCCCCGGGAAUGUACCACCCUCCGGGGUGCCUUAUAGCCCGG